Molecule: ribosomal RNA, 520 nt
Filed under: uncultured Glomus
Lineage: Eukaryota; Fungi; Glomeromycota; Glomeromycetes; Glomerales; Glomeraceae
Description: SSU rRNA
Rfam family: Eukaryotic small subunit ribosomal RNA
Source: RNAcentral
AGCAGCCGCGGUAAUUCCAGCUCCAAUAGCGUAUAUUAAAGUUGUUGCAGUUAAAAAGCUUGUAGUUGAAUUUCGGGGUCAGUAGGUCGGUCGUGCCACUGGUAUGAACUGGUUUUACUGAUUCCUCCCUCUUGAAGAACUGUAAUGCCAUUAAUUUGGUGUUGCAGGGAAUCAGGACUGUUACUUUGAAAAAAUUAGAGUGUUUAAAGCAGGCUUUAGCUUGAAUACAUUAGCAUGGAAUAAUGAAAUAGGACGUUUGAUCCUAUUUUGUUGGUUUCUAGGAUUGACGUAAUGAUUAAUAGGGAUAGUUGGGGGCAUUAGUAUUCAAUUGUCAGAGGUGAAAUUCUUGGAUUUAUUGAAGACUAACUACUGCGAAAGCAUUUGCCAAGGAUGUUUUCAUUAAUCAAGAACGAAAGUUAGGGGAUCGAAGACGAUCAGAUACCGUCGUAGUCUUAACCAUAAACUAUGCCGACUAGGGAUCGGGAUGAUGUUAAUUUUUAAUGACUCAUUCGGCGCCUUA